RNAcentral lists this unclassified non-coding RNA (380 nucleotides) under uncultured Chlamydiales bacterium. Its description in RNAcentral is "contains 16S-23S intergenic spacer region". The record is from RNAcentral. Lineage: Bacteria; Pseudomonadati; Chlamydiota; Chlamydiia; Chlamydiales.
UCCUGGUUCACCCAGGCAGUCUCGCUAGAGUCCCCGCCAUUACGCGUUGGCAACUAACGAUAAGGGUUGCGCUCGUUGCGGGACUUAACCCAACACCUCACGGCACGAGCUGACGACAGCCAUGCAGCACCUGUGCAAAGGCCCUUGCGGGAGAUGUCAUUUCUGUUCAUCGUCCUCUGCAUGUCAAAUCCAGGUAAGGUUCUUCGCGUUGCUUCGAAUUAAACCACAUGCUCCACUGCUUGUGCGGGCCCCCGUCAAUUCUUUUGAGUUUUACUCUUGCGAGCGUACUCCUCAGGCGGCAUACUUAACGCGUUAGCUUGCGACACAAUCGGGGUUGAGUCCAAUUACAUCUAGUAUGCAUCGUUUACGGCAAGGACUAC